ACGUGAUGAACGAACGACUCGAACCUGAAGACUCCAGACGUGAGCAAAUCGUUUCUGUUUCCGGGGAACAGACGUGACAAUUGUGACGUGACAAAACAAUGAACGACUCGGAUCUGGAGGUGAGGUGAACUAACAGACUGCAUGGCCUUAAGACCAGCUAAGCUAUUAAUUAAUAAUUUCUGUUUCUGAUAAUUUGGCCUUGGUUGGAUUAACAUAUUGUUUAUUUUAUAGUUUAUUAAGUAGCCUACUAGAUGUGUUGGGGAAUUUAACAUGUAAUAUUUGAAUUAUAUUCUGCUGAAAUAAACGAAAUGACUCGGAAAAAAACAUUCGUUCAUUUGGCUGAACGAGAUUCAAAGAUCCGAGUCAGUAAAAUGAUCCGAAUUUCCCAUCACUAGCCCCAGCGCGCUAGGACCUCUCGUCCUUAAUUACUCCCUCACGCGCGCUAAUUAAUUUGCAAUGGAUGAGCAGGUGCGCUUGAGAAGGUAGUUGUAGGUUCCUGGUGAGCGCGUGUCUGGUUGUCUGCCAUGGCCAGAACCGGAUUCUAUGAUUCCAGGACACUGCUGGACCGCAAGGCAGAAGAAGCCCGAUUCCCUUUGCGCGCGUGGGCGAACGCAUGCACUGUGCGGGAGCGAGGGGUGCUGAGUGAGGGAGAGGAGCAGAAACAGCAGCCCAAAGCAGACAAUACAGAGCACAGAUGGGUAAACUUGCGACCUCUUUCUUCCAGCUAGAGUGUGAGGUGCACACGCUCCAGAUCAGUUUUCUUCAGUCACUCUGGGUGUUUUCUCUCACACUUUUUUUUUUUUUUUCUUUUCUUAACUAACCAUACUCACUUCUGUUAAAGUGAGCCUGAAAGGGAACUAGCUGCAAAUGGACUCUGUGGC
Molecule: long non-coding RNA, 881 nt
Organism: Ictalurus punctatus (channel catfish)
Lineage: Eukaryota; Metazoa; Chordata; Actinopteri; Siluriformes; Ictaluridae
Source: Ensembl